This is an RNA transcript of Anopheles stephensi (Asian malaria mosquito), 1974 nucleotides long. It is a transcript of the gene named copper transporter 5.1-like, with no coding region annotated. Lineage: Eukaryota; Metazoa; Arthropoda; Insecta; Diptera; Culicidae. The record is from RefSeq and is a predicted model, not a curated record. The transcript has 6 exons.
GCUUAGCGCUUCAAGGCAAUCUUGUUUUGGUUCGGACCGAAUGGUUUUGUGUCCAACGUUUCCCCACCAACACACGAAAGAUUACCUCACUAGCAAAACACUGCGCGACUGUGUACGGGUUUUGUGUUUUUCCUUCCCCCCAGUACAAAACCUCGCAUUUAGAAAAGUGCUCCACCGCAACGCUGUCGGAGACAUUCCGGCCAGCUGCAGUUUCGUAUUUGUUUUCGUUCUUCCGUAGCAUACGCUUUGUAGUAGGGUUGUUCCCGUACAUGUAGAGCGAGGUAGUGCACCGUGCUUUGUGGGGGUACAAUUGUGCUGCCUCAGCCUCAAUAUUUGGUGGCCGAUUUUUGUCACCAGUGGUGUUUUGAUGUAUUGUGUGUGGUGUGGUGCAUGGUAUGAGGGAACAAUUUGACUGAUUGUACGUGGACCUGCAAACCUCGGCACUCUUUUGCCACAAGUGCUCUUUUGUGUCACGAUUAGCGGAUGUGCUGAAGCGAACGAACAUCUUCAUCCGCCCACGGACCGUCUUUUGAAGGUCCUAACUUAACCACACAAGGAUCCGCGUGGUUGAGCAUACACAUAUUCGGUAAGAGGACAGCGAGCAGCAUAGUACAAAGCCCCGGCUCCGGCACGUUCGGCACAAUGAUGCAUAUGUCCUUUUGGUGGGGUUCCGACGUGGGCGAUGUGUUCUUUUCCGGGCUUACCGUUAGCGGCACAGGACCAAUGGUGGCACUUUGUCUCACGCUGACAGCGCUCUCCGUUGCCUACGAAGGGCUGAAGAUCCACGGUGCUAAGGUUCGCGCACGUACGGCCAGAGAACGGGUACGGUCCGGAUCGUGCCCGCCAAGCGAAAGUGCCACACUGCUGUCGCUGGAAGGCAGCGUCAGCAAUGGUCCACUGAGCGGUAGCACGCUGUCGCGCCGGAUCCGCAAGCUGCUCUCGGAAGCGAUUACCUUCCUGUUUCACAGCAUGCUUGGAUACGCGCUCAUGCUGACGGUGAUGGUGUACAACGGGUAUCUGUUCAUUGCCGUGGUCGGUGGUAUGGGCCUGGGGUACUUCCUGUUCGGCCACCUCUCGAUGAAGGUGAACAUGGAGAACAUUCAGGCACAGCAGACGAAGAUGAUCUGUACCACGCGCUGUCUACAGCAAGCUGAAAGCUGUGCAAUGAGCCAUUCGGCGCCCUGUCCAACCGGUCGUUCCUCCCGUUCCAAUUAUCAAACCCUGACCUAAUUCAUUCACCUGCCGUCACAUCAUUUUUAGGUAGAACACCAACCACCACCUAUCCACCAGCAUACCGUUUCCCACCCUGUAAGAUAACCCCGCUUCCGUAUCCUUCUUCUCUGUUCUCCAUCCAGUGUGCAGUAGCAUUUUGAAUCGGUAAACCCGUCCGCAUCGACCAGUCUUGAGCAUUAUCCGCGUAGCUCAUCGGCAGACGUCGAGAGUGCUACCGACAGUCGGUCUAAUGCCAUACCGCAUGGCUCUGGAUGUCAUUAGACAUGGUGUGAGCGGCAAACUGCAGCACAAAAACCUUAUCCUGACCCACCAUAACCACUAUCUUUUUGGGGCGCACAUGUUUUGCAGGGAGAACCCAUUCUUCCUACCGUAGGCAUGCCGCACAAACCGCAUCGAAACUGUGAUCUUUUUGCGCUAUCCCACUGGUGCUCUGGUGGAGGAACGAUUCUGGUUGCGUUAUCGAUUUAGAAAGUUGCCUGCUUUGAUUUCGAAAGGUGCCAAGAUUACCAUUUCAAAAACCAUUGACAAUAUGUAAGAAAAAGUGUACGUGUAGUUGUGUUAGUAUGCUGUAACGUUGAACCACCUCAACCGCAUCCGGCUUUAUAUUCAAUUGAUUUGUGAUAUUUUUAUUGCCCGUUUUCGUUUGCGUUAUAUUGGUUUAUUUUUUUACAAAAAAAAGUUUUUUUUACUGACAUAUAGUGCGAUACUUUCACAAUAAACCAAGAAUGUAUUAAAACUGAA